GGAGCCGGCCAGACAGUCGCGUCAUCGGAAACGAUGCCGAGGAAAGUCCGGGCUCCACAGGGCACGGUGCCAGGUAACGCCUGGGCGGCGCGAGCCGACGGAAAGUGCAACAGAAAGAUACCGCCGAACGGUUCUUCGGAAUGCGUGGCAAGGGUGAAAUGGUGCGGUAAGAGCGCACCGCGAGUCCGGCAACGG
RNAcentral lists this RNase P RNA (195 nucleotides) under Pseudoxanthomonas sp. RNAcentral describes it as "partial RNase P RNA component class A". It matches the Rfam family "Bacterial RNase P class A", at positions 1 to 195 of the family's 367-position model. From Rfam's summary of the family: Ribonuclease P (RNase P) is a ubiquitous endoribonuclease, found in archaea, bacteria and eukarya as well as chloroplasts and mitochondria. Lineage: Bacteria; Pseudomonadati; Pseudomonadota; Gammaproteobacteria; Lysobacterales; Lysobacteraceae. The record is from RNAcentral.